AGCAGCCGCGGUAAUUCCAGCUCCAAUAGCGUAUAUUAAAGUUGUUGCAGUUAAAAAGCUCGUAGUUGAAUUUCGGGACUAACAGAUUGGUCGCGCCUUUGGUGUGUACUGGUCUAGUUGGUUUCUCCCUUCUGACGAACCACGAUGUCAUUAAUUUGGUGUCGUGGGAAAUCAGGACUGUUACUUUGAAAAAUUAGAGUGUUUAAAGCAGGCUCGCGCUUGAAUACAUUAGCAUGGAAUAAUGAAAUAGGACGUUUGAUCCUAUUUUGUUGGUUUCUAGGAUCGACGUAAUGAUUAAUAGGGAUAGUUGGGGGCAUUAGUAUUCAAUUGUCAGAGGUGAAAUUCUUGGAUUUAUUGAAGACUAACUACUGCAAAAGCAUUUGCCAAGGAUGUUUUCAUUAAUCAAGAACGAAAGUUAGGGGAUCGAAGACGAUC
Molecule: ribosomal RNA, 435 nt
Filed under: uncultured Glomus
Lineage: Eukaryota; Fungi; Glomeromycota; Glomeromycetes; Glomerales; Glomeraceae
Description: SSU rRNA
Rfam family: Eukaryotic small subunit ribosomal RNA
Source: RNAcentral